This is a non-coding RNA of Phoenix dactylifera (date palm), 1479 nucleotides long. Lineage: Eukaryota; Viridiplantae; Streptophyta; Magnoliopsida; Arecales; Arecaceae. The record is from RefSeq and is a predicted model, not a curated record.
ACCUAGAUUUAAUUUGAAACAUUAAUUCAGCCAUUGAACUAAAAUCCGAUAAAAGAAAAGGAAAAAGAAAAGAAAAAGAAGGUCCUGGCCAACUAGAUCCAAUCUUGAGGUGCUCGGGCUCCAGGGUUUGAUCACAGAACCAAGCUAUUUGAUUUGACGUAUAUUAGGUUUCAAAGGCGGUGGCCCUGGGUGCCGGGGAAUGUAAUCCCUGCUCCUUCCAGAGCCCGGCCGGCUUCUCUUUGUGCGAGGCGAGGGCGAGGAGCCAUGAGGGGAACGGCGAUAGACCUCCCGGAAGUGCUCCCCUCUCCAUCCCCUCCUUCUUCUUCCUCCCAUUUCAGCCCUGGGCGCCAUUACUACGUCGCUGUCGAUCGGCUUCAGUUCAAGAUGGAGACACUAGUGGAUCUGCUGGGGGUGGCGGGACGGCGCCGGUCGCUGCCGAUGGUGAUAUGCUGCAGCUCGCGAGACGAGCUAGACGCCGUCUGCGCCUCGGUCUCCAACCUUUCCUUCAUCUCGCUUUCCUCCCUGUACAGUGACCUGGCUGAAUCUGAACGUGUGCUGGUACUAGAAAAGUUCCGUCAGUCAACAGCAGAAUGGAGUCAAAUCAAUAAUGCUUGUCCUGGUGAUGACCUUGAAUGUGGAAAUGUAGCUCACAAGUCAUGGAUGAUAGUUGUAACAGAUGCCUGUCUGCCACUUGUUGCUUCAGGAGAGGCACCUCUUUUAGCUCGUGUUUUAAUAAACUAUGAGUUACCAACAAAGAAGCUGCCUUGUAAAGCUAGAGGCUGUUCCUUCUUUUAUGGGUGUAAAAGAGGCCACAUCAUAUGCCAUAUUCACAACUUUGAGCUUUCAAACGAAAAAAAUAAAGGAAACAUACUUGAGGCGCAUGUCAACUUGUUUAGCAGCAGAUGGAAUUGUGAUAAACAUGGUUGUUGGAGGUGAAGUGGUGGCCCUGAAAGGACUUGAGGAGAGCAGUGGUCUUGUCAUUGCAGAGAUGCCCAUCAAUAUCUCUGAAAUCUUAUGAAGAUAUUAUUGUCAUCUGCAUCUAUGGAAGGAUUCGUUUGUAGAAUUUACUAGAACUGGUGAUCUGUUGGCUGCACCAUGGAAGACCCCACCAGUUUAAACAUAUUCAGACAAUGAUAGUUUGAAUCAUUAUGCCUGGUAUCGCUAUUACACUCUUGGGAAAUAUUUUUCUAUGUGAAUUUGAGUAUACUUCGACCGAACUGGGAAAAAAAGUGGUUUCUCCUAGAUACCUUAGCAGAUAAUAAUUUUGCUUACUCAAAUAAUUUUUAAUAAUAAUCAAGGGUGAGUUGAUAAAUUUUCACCUUGAUUAUCAUUUAUUUUACAUCCUUAUGUCAUUCAUAAUUUAUAUUAUGCUUCCCGUUGGAGCAAAAUAUUGAUAUUCUUGAUAAUCUCUUGCCAGAAGGCUGUGCUGUUAAAUUUGAUGUUUAACAAAGCAUAUACUAAUCCAGAUUCAUGCUUUAU